This 274-nucleotide ribosomal RNA is filed under the name uncultured bacterium. RNAcentral describes it as "partial 16S ribosomal RNA". It matches the Rfam family "Bacterial small subunit ribosomal RNA", at positions 523 to 796 of the family's 1533-position model. The record is from RNAcentral.
AUACGUAUGUCGCAAGCGUUAUCCGGAAUUAUUGGGCGUAAAGGGCGCGUAGGCGGUCUUGUCGGUCAGAUGUGAAAGCCCAGGGCUCAACCCUGGACGUGCAUUUGAAACAGCAAGACUUGAGUACGGGAGAGGAAAGCGGAAUUCCUGGUGUAGAGGUGAAAUUCGUAGAUAUCAGGAGGAACACCGAUGGCGAAGGCAGCUUUCUGGACCGAUACUGACGCUGAGGCGCGAAGGCGUGGGUAGCGAACAGGAUUAGAAACCCCAGUAGUCC